GAAAGCUGGUUUGUUUACGGUCUUCCAGAGAAGGAUGAGAUUGAUAAUUAUAUAUCUUCAAAGGCUAAAAGACUUAAGAGUCUCAAUUCUCAAAAAAGUUUGUAGGAGUUUAUGUUUAAUGUUAAUUGUUCUUAAUAGCAUAAUGCUGGCAAAAACCCUCAUUCCAUAUGGCUCUUCUUUCAGUGGAGUAAUGGUUUCGGUGGAAAUCUCUAUAUGGUGGCCAUUUUUAUCAAAGUUAGAGUAGGUUCCUCCUUUGGUUUUGGAUUCAAGGGACCUUCAUUAUUGUAAUAAUUGUAUAUAAUUUUUUUGUAUUUUAUUUUAGUGAAAUACGAAAUGAAAUGAUUUUUUUGUAAUUUAAGUACUAUUUAGAGUUGUAUUUUUUUUAUUUAGCUAGUUAGAUGUACAAUGAUAUAUUCAUUAUAAAGUGAUCAUAUGUAUUCUGAAUA
Molecule: non-coding RNA, 446 nt
Organism: Vigna umbellata (rice bean)
Lineage: Eukaryota; Viridiplantae; Streptophyta; Magnoliopsida; Fabales; Fabaceae
Source: RefSeq, a predicted model, not a curated record